Molecule: ribosomal RNA, 468 nt
Filed under: uncultured bacterium
Lineage: Bacteria
Description: partial 16S ribosomal RNA
Rfam family: Bacterial small subunit ribosomal RNA
Source: RNAcentral
GACGAACGCUGGCGGCGUGCUUAACACAUGCAAGUCGAACGGAAAGGCCCUGCUUUUGUGGGGUGCUCGAGUGGCGAACGGGUGAGUAACACGUGAGUAACCUGCCCUUGACUUUGGGAUAACUUCAGGAAACUGGGGCUAAUACCGGAAAGGAGCUCCUGCUGCAUGGUGGGCGUUGGAAAGUUUCGGCGGUUGGGGAUGGACUCGCGGCUUAUCAGCUUGUUGGUGGGGUAGUGGCUUACCAAGGCUUGGACGGGUAGCCGGCCUGAGAGGGUGACCGGCCACAUUGGGACUGAGAUACGGCCCAGACUCCUACGGGAGGCAGCAGUGGGGAAUAUUGCACAAUGGGCGGAAGCCUGAUGCAGCAACGCCGCGUGCGGGAUGACGGCCUUCGGGUUGUAAACCGCUUUCGCCUGUGACGAAGCGUGAGUGACGGUAAUGGGUAAAGAAGCACCGGCUAACUACGUG